RNAcentral lists this non-coding RNA (1014 nucleotides) under Cryptosporidium parvum. Lineage: Eukaryota; Apicomplexa; Conoidasida; Eucoccidiorida; Cryptosporidiidae. The record is from RNAcentral.
CUCGUAUUUUAAACAAUAACUAAUACUCAUACCACGUACUUAAACCAUCAGAUUCAGAAUUAUUUAAAAUUCAUGAAAUUUAUUUUGUUAAACAACCAUCUUAUUUAGUUCAAUUGUGUUUACUGGUUUCCUAACUUUUCAACCGAGUCCAAAUAUUUAAGUGCAUCCUUAUUGUUUUCAAAAAUAGAUUCUGGGCUGUAUCUUUCCCCAAAUAAUAUAAGGCACUCAAGUAAAACAUCAAAUAGACUUCUAGCUUGAUCGUGUUUCGACUCAAUUUUUUGUGCAAUGGAUGACAUCUUUUGGAGUGAUUUGGUGUAUUUACGUUUAUACAAUUCCAAUAAACUGCUAUUAGUUUCAGAUUCUAACAAUUUACUAUAUCUUUCUGUUAAACUAACUCUAAACAUGAGCCCAUUUUUCAAUAGUAAGUAUUCUAAGUACUCGGAUGCAGCUUGUUCGCAAUCAAAUCUAGAAGGUUUUUUUCCUUUCUUCCUUGAAGAUUGAAUAUUGGCCAAAGAAGUGUGCAGAAUUUCGUGAUUUUCAUUUGAAACGGAUAGAUAAAUAAUGACUAGAUAAAGUCCGGAAAAGAGCCUUAUAAUAUUCAUGAUUUCCAAAAAUAAUAAUGCUUUAUUUGAUUUAACUGAGUUUUUAAUGCUAAUUGAUGAUGUGUAAUUACCUUUUAUUUGUGUAGUCUAAUGAUUUACACAAAUAUCACACAGGUGUACCACAAUACUAAUUUAAUGUCUUUGGAAGAUAUUCACUCAAAAAUAAUAGUGGAAUAAUUUGUGAUUACUCAACAAAAAAAAGAGAUUAAAUAGAAAAGGCUAAAACUGCAAGCUUUAGUCUUAGCAGACUUUGCAGGCUUUAAAUCAGAUUUCUCAAAAUCGAUAUUUUUUUAAAAAAUCUUCCACAAUGGCGGGAGCUAAAAUGGCAGGCAAACAAAAACCACAGUGGCGGGAAUGUGUAAUAAAGAAAGCAUAGAUGUAGGAAAAUUAUAAAUUAAAUAUUGUAUUAGAG